GACGAACCGUGCGAACGUUGUUCGGAUUCACUGGGCUUAAAGGGCGCGUAGGCGGGCGGUCAAGUCGGGGGUGAAAUCUUUCAGCUUAACUGGAAAAGUGCCUCCGAUACUGAUCGCCUCGAGGGAGGUAGGGGCAUGUGGAACUUCCGGUGGAGCGGUGAAAUGCGUAGAUAUCGGGAGGAACACCCAUGGCGAAGGCAGCAAGCUGGGCGACACCUGACGCUGAGGCGCGAAAGCGUGGGUAGCAAACAGG
RNAcentral lists this ribosomal RNA (253 nucleotides) under uncultured bacterium. RNAcentral's name for it is "partial 16S ribosomal RNA". It matches the Rfam family "Bacterial small subunit ribosomal RNA", at positions 524 to 776 of the family's 1533-position model. The record is from RNAcentral.